This 497-nucleotide ribosomal RNA is filed under the name uncultured bacterium. RNAcentral's name for it is "partial 16S ribosomal RNA". It matches the Rfam family "Bacterial small subunit ribosomal RNA", at positions 28 to 507 of the family's 1533-position model. The record is from RNAcentral.
GAUGAACGCUGGCGGCGUGCCUAAUACAUGCAAGUCGAGCGAACGGACGAGAAGCUUGCUUCUCUGAUGUUAGCGGCGGACGGGUGAGUAACACGUGGAUAACCUACCUAUAAGACUGGGAUAACUUCGGGAAGCCGGAGCUAAUACCGGAUAAUAUUUUGAACCGCAUGGUUCAAAAGUGAAAGACGGUCUUGCUGUCACUUAUAGAUGGAUCCGCGCUGCAUUAGCUAGUUGGUAAGGUAACGGCUUACCAAGGCAACGAUGCAUAGCCGACCUGAGAGGGUGAUCGGCCACACUGGAACUGAGACACGGUCCAGACUCCUACGGGAGGCAGCAGUAGGAAAUCUUCCGCAAUGGGCGAAAGCCUGACGGAGCAACGCCGCGUGAGUGAUGAAGGUCUUCGGAUCGUAAAACUCUGUUAUUAGGGAAGAACAUAUGUGUAAGUAACUGUGCACAUCUUGACGGUACCUAAUCAGAAAGCCACGGCUAACUACGUG